RNAcentral lists this ribosomal RNA (480 nucleotides) under uncultured bacterium. RNAcentral's name for it is "partial 16S ribosomal RNA". It matches the Rfam family "Bacterial small subunit ribosomal RNA", at positions 28 to 507 of the family's 1533-position model. The record is from RNAcentral.
GAUGAACGCUAGCGGCAGGCCUAAUACAUGCAAGUCGAGGGGUAUGGGUUGCUUGCCACCCAGAGACCGGCGCACGGGUGCGUAACGCGUAUGCAAUCUACCUUAAUCAGGGGGAUAGCCCGGAGAAAUCCGGAUUAACACCGCAUAACAUUGAGUUGUGGCAUCACAGUUCAAUCAAAUAUUUAUAGGAUUAAGAUGAGCAUGCGUGACAUUAGUUAGUUGGUGAGGUAACGGCUCACCAAGACCACGAUGUCUAGGGGAUCUGAGAGGAUGACCCCCCACACUGGUACUGAGACACGGACCAGACUCCUACGGGAGGCAGCAGUAAGGAAUAUUGGUCAAUGGGCGCAAGCCUGAACCAGCCAUGCCGCGUGCAGGAAGACGGCCCUAUGGGUUGUAAACUGCUUUUGUACCGGAAUAAACCUUCUCUUGCGAGAGAAGCCGAACGUACGGUAAGAAUAAGGAUCGGCUAACUCCGUG